Molecule: long non-coding RNA, 528 nt
Organism: Uloborus diversus
Lineage: Eukaryota; Metazoa; Arthropoda; Arachnida; Araneae; Uloboridae
Exons: 3
Source: RefSeq, a predicted model, not a curated record
GAGGCAAGGAGAAGUAACAAACGUGGAGUUGCGCGCCAUGUGUUGCGACGGAAGAGUGCCCUGGCGUGCAAAUCGGCAAACACCAGAAGACUGUAAAAGGAGAACGUCAAGCGUUGUGCGGCGGCACAACAAGGAGUGUAAAAGUAGCGGAAAGAUUACAAUACAAAAUAAUGUUUUUAUAACUGAAUGGAGGAUAAAUCGCAUUUUCGUGAGUUUGUGUACAUCAUAUUGUUGCUCUCAAGAUUUAAAAGAAAACUGAAGAAACGAAUGCACCGAAUAUAAAUCCAGAAAUAAGAAACCAUGUAUUUGUAAACAGAAGUCACAGGAAAGGACUGUCGAGAGCAUUAGUUCAACCGUUAAACAUACUGCGAAGAGAUCAGUGAAUUCAAAGAUCAGUUCCAAAAAGAUGGAGUAACAUCCAUUCUCAUCCUGACACGCAAAAUAUGCACUAUUUGAGACUUGUAACAUGUUAUGUUAUUGAAUAAAGUCAGUAUUUUAACAAAUCGAAGGAGCUAUCAGUUCAGACUG